GCCGAAUCCGAUGUAGACGAUAUCGAAUAACAAUAUUUUUUUCUACCGAAGGAUGUCAGCUCUGUGUCUGAGAGAAAGAAGAGCAAGGCCACUGCCUCAGAUUCUGCAUCGGCUAAGAAACAGGUCAGCAAGGCGCUCUUCCCACGCCAAUAAAGACGAUGUCACUUGCCAGUAAGCAUAAACCUCAAAACAGCGGUUACCCAGAAGCAAUGCAGUUGUAAGAAAAUACUCGACUUUACCUUUCUCUUUGCAUUCAACACCUGCACAUAUCAUCAGUUCCAAGAACAGGUCAAUUCAGACUGAGAAGAGAAAGAUUGGUUAAGUGCAGAUUUCAUAGACUACUACUGAUCUGCUAUGUGUAAUAUUAUGGAGCUACCAACUACUCUAGACAAUAUGUGCCUUUGAUGCAUUGUGGAUGACGGAGUAGCUGUGACCCAUCUGUGUGUAAUAACAUAAGAUGUAAUCCAAUGUUCCACAAUAGCACGAAGAUAUCUACCA
Lolium rigidum is the source of this 498-nucleotide long non-coding RNA. RefSeq lists it as uncharacterized. The record is from RefSeq and is a predicted model, not a curated record. Lineage: Eukaryota; Viridiplantae; Streptophyta; Magnoliopsida; Poales; Poaceae. The transcript has 2 exons.